UGGGGAAUUUUGGACAAUGGGCGAAAGCCUGAUCCAGCAAUGCCGCGUGUGUGAAGAAGGCCUUCGGGUUGUAAAGCACUUUUGUCCGGAAAGAAAUCCUUGGCUCUAAUACAGUCGGGGGAUGACGGUACCGGAAGAAUAAGCACCGGCUAACUACGUGCCAGCAGCCGCGGUAAUACGUAGGGUGCAAGCGUUAAUCGGAAUUACUGGGCGUAAAGCGUGCGCAGGCGGUUUGCUAAGACCGAUGUGAAAUCCCCGGGCUCAACCUGGGAACUGCAUUGGUGACUGGCAGGCUAGAGUAUGGCAGAGGGGGGUAGAAUUCCACGUGUAGCAGUGAAAUGCGUAGAGAUGUGGAGGAAUACCGAUGGCGAAGGCAGCCCCCUGGGCCAAUACUGACGCUCAUGCACGAAAGCGUGGGGAGCAAACAGGAUUAGAUACCCUGGUAGUCCACGCCCUAAACGAUGUCAACUAGUUGUUGGGGAUUCAUUUCCUUAGUAACGUAGCUAACGCGUGAAGUUGACCGCCUGGGGAGUAGGUCGCAAGAUUAAAACUCAAAGGAAUUGACGGGGUCAUAGCUGUUUCCU
This 584-nucleotide ribosomal RNA is filed under the name uncultured bacterium. RNAcentral's name for it is "partial 16S ribosomal RNA". It matches the Rfam family "Bacterial small subunit ribosomal RNA", at positions 355 to 1375 of the family's 1533-position model. The record is from RNAcentral.